Molecule: long non-coding RNA, 1060 nt
Filed under: Struthio camelus australis
Lineage: Eukaryota; Metazoa; Chordata; Aves; Struthioniformes; Struthionidae
Description: lncRNA (ENSSCUG00000017161.1)
Source: RNAcentral
CACUAGGCAGACCCCAGUGUUUACUGGUUGAGCAUCUCUGUUUUGCUUUGCAUCUCCUGCAGGACAAAACAUUUUGCAUCAACAAGAAGACCAAAGGCAGAGGGAAACCUGCUUUAAAGCCUUGACUCAGACUUUCUUCCAGGUAUUCAAGGAACUAGUUGCUGUGUUUCCAGCUAUCAUGUAUGCAAACCACCAGUUUGUUAGGGGCCAAGUACAGAGCCAGAAGUGGUUCAAAAACACUGCAUGAGCCUCAGUGCAUGCCCAGAUGCAUCCAAUGAGCUGGGACAUUCCCCAUGAAAUAAACAGGUUAUCACCUCUUUAAUCAGAGUUUAAUCUAGGAUGAUGGACACCUACAGACUGACCAUAUCUACUGCUCUGCUGCUGCAGGGAGUUGCAUCGUUGGAUGCUUUUUAUAUGCUGAUGCAGAUCCCCUUGGCUUCAUGCUUUGAAUGGCAAGAAAAUUCCCUGUGAAUUUCUUGAGCAAUUUUGUUCUUGUCCCUGCUUUGUUCAUCAGCAGAAGGUUUUGACUCUAUCCCCCUUUCUUCAGAAUCGUCAUUAUCUUCCCUCUCAGGAAGACCUGUGAGUCCUCCCAGACCCCUUGGUAACAAAAGGUGGCUUCUAACAACCCUUCAAUUUCCACAGGCCUUGGAGCAGAACCUUACUUCUGUCCAGCAGCAGAGGAUGGAAGAAGAUCCUCAGGGCUCCAGCCUGCUCUUAAAAACGGCUUAUGACCAGAUGCUGCCUUUCAAAGACCUGUCAAACCAUAGGCUAACCGGCCUAUUCUGCACGUGGAGAUUUGAACAGAAGAUGUCCAUGCAGACCCUGAUGCAUCUUCUUCAGAAAGAACAUGGAGAAGGUGAAGGAAACCGCUACCCUAUUCUUCUGGAGCUUGUGUCUAAGCUCCAGAAUAUCCAGCGCAUCCAGCACCUGCCUGACAUUUUCAGUCUGCAGAAAACCCUGAUCCACUUCUUCUAAAACAGCCAUGGAGGGGAAAGAUAUUCGGUACAACAGUUCAUAGACCAACAUGAACUUUCAGGUACAGUAUGGACAUCUUUCCAUC